CCUACGGGAGGCAGCAGUGGGGAAUAUUGCGCAAUGGGCGAAAGCCUGACGCAGCGACGCCGCGUGAGGGAUGAAGGUCUUCGGAUCGUAAACCUCUGUCAGCAGGGAAGAACGGUCACUGUGCUAAUCAGCAGCUAAUUGACGGUACCUGCAAAGGAAGCACCGGCUAACUCCGUGCCAGCAGCCUCGUUAAUACGGAGGGUGCGUGCGUUAAUCGGAAUUACUGGGCUGAAAGCGCUCGUAGGCGGUAUGGCAAGUCAAGGGUUAAAACCCCGCGCUCAAAGUGCGAACUGCCUGUGAAACUGGCGAGCGGGAGUGUAUGAGAGGUAAGCGGAAUGCCAGGUGUAGGAGUGAAAUGCGUAGAUAUCUGGCGGAACAUCAGUGGCGAAGGCGACUAUCUGGCACAUAACUGACGCUGAGGAGCGAAAGCGUGGGUAGCAAACAGGAUUAGAUACCCUAGUAGUC
RNAcentral lists this ribosomal RNA (465 nucleotides) under uncultured bacterium. Its description in RNAcentral is "partial 16S ribosomal RNA". It matches the Rfam family "Bacterial small subunit ribosomal RNA", at positions 338 to 795 of the family's 1533-position model. The record is from RNAcentral.